This 697-nucleotide ribosomal RNA is filed under the name uncultured beta proteobacterium. RNAcentral describes it as "bacterial SSU rRNA". It matches the Rfam family "Bacterial small subunit ribosomal RNA", at positions 68 to 757 of the family's 1533-position model. The record is from RNAcentral. Lineage: Bacteria; Pseudomonadati; Pseudomonadota; Betaproteobacteria.
GGCAGCACGGGUGCUUGCACCUGGUGGCGAGUGGCGAACGGGUGAGUAAUACAUCGGAACAUGUCCUGUAGUGGGGGAUAGCCCGGCGAAAGCCGGAUUAAUACCGCAUACGAUCUAUGGAUGAAAGCGGGGGACCUUCGGGCCUCGCGCUAUAGGGUUGGCCGAUGGCUGAUUAGCUAGUUGGUGGGGUAAAGGCCUACCAAGGCGACGAUCAGUAGCUGGUCUGAGAGGACGACCAGCCACACUGGGACUGAGACACGGCCCAGACUCCUACGGGAGGCAGCAGUGGGGAAUUUUGGACAAUGGGCGAAAGCCUGAUCCAGCAAUGCCGCGUGUGUGAAGAAGGCCUUCGGGUUGUAAAGCACUUUUGUCCGGAAAGAAAUCCUUGGUUCUAAUAUAGCCGGGGGAUGACGGUACCGGAAGAAUAAGCACCGGCUAACUACGUGCCAGCAGCCGCGGUAAUACAUAGGGUGCGAGCGUUAAUCGGAAUUACUGGGCGUAAAGCGUGCGCAGGCGGUUUGCUAAGACCGAUGUGAAAUCCCCGGGCUCAACCUGGGAACUGCAUUGGUGACUGGCAGGCUAGAGUAUGGCAGAGGGGGGUAGAAUUCCACGUGUAGCAGUGAAAUGCGUAGAGAUGUGGAGGAAUACCGGAUGGCGAAGGGCAGCCCCUGGGCCAAUACUGACGCUCAUGCACGAA